This 936-nucleotide ribosomal RNA is filed under the name Amaropostia stiptica. RNAcentral describes it as "partial large subunit ribosomal RNA". It matches the Rfam family "Eukaryotic large subunit ribosomal RNA", at positions 37 to 954 of the family's 3401-position model. The record is from RNAcentral. Lineage: Eukaryota; Fungi; Basidiomycota; Agaricomycetes; Polyporales; Postiaceae.
AGCAUAUCAAUAAGCGGAGGAAAAGAAACUAACAAGGAUUCCCCUAGUAACUGCGAGUGAAGCGGGAAAAGCUCAAAUUUAAAAUCUGGCGGUCCUUGUGGUCGUCCGAGUUGUAAUCUGGAGAAGUGCUUUCCGUGCUGGACCGUGUACAAGUCUCUUGGAACAGAGCGUCAUAGAGGGUGAGAAUCCCGUCUUUGACACGGACUACCAGUGCUUUGUGAUGCGCUCUCAAAGAGUCGAGUUGUUUGGGAAUGCAGCUCAAAAUGGGUGGUAAAUUCCAUCUAAAGCUAAAUAUUGGCGAGAGACCGAUAGCGAACAAGUACCGUGAGGGAAAGAUGAAAAGAACUUUGGAAAGAGAGUUAAACAGUACGUGAAAUUGCUGAAAGGGAAACGCUUGAAGUCAGUCGCGUUGGCCAGGACUCAGCCUUGCUUUUUUGCUUGGUUUACUUUCUGGUUGACGGGUCAGCAUCAGUUUUGAUCAUUAGAAAAUGGCUGAGGGAAUGUGGCAUCUUCGGAUGUGUUAUAGCCCUUGGUCGCAUGUAAUGGUUGGGACUGAGGAUCGCAGCACACCUUUAAUGGUCGGGGUUCGCCCACGUUUGUGCUUAGGAUGCUGGCAUAAUGGCUUUAAUCGACCCGUCUUGAAACACGGACCAAGGAGUCUAACAUGCAUGCGAGUGUUUGGGUGGAAAACUCGAGCGCGUAAUGAAAGUGAAAGUUGAGACCUCUGUCGUGGAGGGCAUCGACGCCCGGACCAGAACUUCUGUGACGGCCCUGCGGUAGAGCAUGUAUGUUGGGACCCGAAAGAUGGUGAACUAUGCCUGAAUAGGGUGAAGCCAGAGGAAACUCUGGUGGAGGCUCGUAGCGAUUCUGACGUGCAAAUCGAUCGUCAAAUUUGGGUAUAGGGGCGAAAGACUAAUCGAACCAUCUAGUAGCUGG